UAGAUUGUAGCUAAAUUAUAAGCGCUUCACUUACGUUGGAGAGAUCACUUUUAGGUGCUAUCUAA
Molecule: transfer RNA, 65 nt
Filed under: Bitias brevis
Lineage: Eukaryota; Metazoa; Arthropoda; Malacostraca; Decapoda; Pandalidae
Description: tRNA-Val
Source: RNAcentral